This 1206-nucleotide long non-coding RNA is filed under the name Mustela putorius furo (domestic ferret). Its description in RNAcentral is "lncRNA (ENSMPUG00000025106.1)". Lineage: Eukaryota; Metazoa; Chordata; Mammalia; Carnivora; Mustelidae. The record is from RNAcentral.
GGAAAGGGGGAAUAUGGGAGGAGAGAUGUGGUGAGGGGGCUUGGGGAAGAACUUUGGGUCUCCAGAUUCUAUUGUUAGUACCCAGGAAGUUGUCGGCUUUUUUCCUUGUGAUUCACUGCUGUGCCAUGGAGUUGGAGUUAGACAGAGCUGAAAUAUUCAGUCCCUUUCAUUCACUGUCUUUAUUAAUGAGCCAAUAUCUCUGACGUUUGUUCCACAUGAUUUUCAGCCCAUAUCAAAGCACUAACAUGAUUUAGAGUUGGAGCAAACAUCCACGUUUAUUAUAUUUCAUGAAUAUUUACCGAGGACCAACUAUGUGCUGGGUGCUGGGCAAGAUCCCCCUGCUAGGGAGACAGAAAGAAUGGGUUGCAGAGCCCCGCGUUUGGGUGCUCUCAGGCUCCAAGGGGAGAAGGGGUUGGAGAUAGGGUGUGGGGGAGGGGGAGGGGAGGAGCUUAGACCCGGACACAAAGACUGCAAGAGAGGGCUACCAAGACUGGCUCCUUUUCACACCAGGAGGACCCGGAUUAGGCACCGAUCCACCUGCAGCUGGGAAUGUCCCACUCUGAGGGAUUGGGUUGAUGGAAGAAGACCCCCAUCCGCCGUCUAAUUGGGCUGUGGGUGAAAAACAAAGAUGUGGCACGUUUGGGGAGUAAAAUCUGGCUGGCACGUGUUCGCCCGCUUCUGGACUUGUGGCUCUUCUCUCAGUCGGCUUGGCGUUGGAGUCCCCUGAGCAUGGGCAACUCCCCUGUCAUCUCCCUGAGGGAGGGAUCUGGUGACUUCAUCUCUGAAGCUUCCUGGUGUGCAGCACAGAACCAGUGUCCGAGGGUUGGAUUAGACCUUGGAGAAGUCAUGUCUUCUCUCCGGCCCUUGACUUCCCUAGCUGUAAAAUGGGCAUAAUGCCUUCAGUCCUUUCUCCUUCCCAAGCUUUUAAAGAAGACUCUAAGGGCGCCUGGGUGGCUCAGUGGGUUAAAGCCUCUGCCUUCGGCUCGGGUCAUGAUCCAGGGUCCUGGGAUCAAGCCCCGCAUAGGGCUCUCUGCUCCGCAGGGAGCCUGCUUCCUCCUCUCUCUCUGUCUGCCUCUCUGCCUAGUUUCGCUCUGUCAAAUAAAAAAAAAUAAUUAAAAAAAAUAAUAAAGAAGACUCUAGUUCCUGCUCUGCAUUCAAGCAAAUUGGAUUUUUUUUUUUCUCUCUUAGCCUCCACGCUGCUGCGUA